Molecule: non-coding RNA, 115 nt
Organism: Brachypodium distachyon (stiff brome)
Lineage: Eukaryota; Viridiplantae; Streptophyta; Magnoliopsida; Poales; Poaceae
Source: Rfam
AGCUACGCGACGAACACAUAGCGAACUAUUCUUUCGCCUUUUACAAAGUGUACCGUGUGCUCGUCGCAAAUUAGCUGCAUAGCCCAAUUUUUUUAAGGGUUCUUUCUUUCUUCCU